Non-coding RNA from Schistocerca cancellata (South American locust), 72 nucleotides. The record is from the annotation of a RefSeq genome assembly. Lineage: Eukaryota; Metazoa; Arthropoda; Insecta; Orthoptera; Acrididae.
GCCAGGGUGGCGCAGUGGUUAACGCCCCUGCCUAGAGAGCAGGAGGCCUCGGUUCAACUCCAGGCCUUGAUA